Molecule: long non-coding RNA, 4921 nt
Organism: Felis catus (domestic cat)
Lineage: Eukaryota; Metazoa; Chordata; Mammalia; Carnivora; Felidae
Exons: 3
Source: RefSeq, a predicted model, not a curated record
GAUGCUUAACCGGCUGAGCCACCCAGGUGCCCCCCCCCACCUCAAAAUAAGUUUUUAAUUGUUACGGUUUGAAUGGAAAAAUGAAGCUGCUACCAAAGGAAAUCCACUGAAUUUUAUAGAAAGGCUUGGAUCUGCAAAUGAGAUCUGUUUAUCCCUGUGGGGUCUGUGAAAAUCCCGGCUGGCAUAGGAUGAAGCAGUGAUAUUCCUUGCUUGCUCCUAGACCCCCAGGGAACACCCACACCACCGUUCCCAGCAGAGACCUGUGAACAGUCAGGCCCUAACACCCAGGUCACCCAUGUGAGCCCCGAGUUAGCCUCUUUGUCCUUCUGGGUGGCACUAGCGACUACCACCCCCGGGGAAGUGAGAAUUGAGUCACUUCGAUCAUUUUCUGGGGUUCUGCGGUUCAGAUGAGGCACCUCAUGAAGAAGGUGACCAGAAGCCUGCCAUCGCCUGCCCCACAGUUCCCACACUGUGCACACUUCACACUCCCUGGAGAAAGCCUGGCGCCGUGUGGGUUGAUAACGAACCCCACAGCUUGCUGAGAAGGGGGCGUGAGGAUCCCCGUUCUGGCUGACUGCGGUGGGGAGGUUAUGCGUCUGGUCGAUGGCACUAGGUAAAUCCCCCCCUUCUCCUAUCCUGAACACCAACUGGGCAUUCAGAUGGGUGUGUGUGUGUGUGUGUGUGUGUGUGUGUGUGUGUGUGUACAUGUACCAAUGUGUGUAUAAAUGUCCUUGAUCCUCACCCAUGUUUGUACCUCUAUAUCUGUGCACAGACCCUGACUCUGUGUACGUACCACUGCAUGUGUCCUUGGAUCAGGACCCUGUCCAUAUACGUACUUGCACGUCUAUACUUGGACCAAGACCCUGCGUACCUACCACUGUGUCUAUACAUGGUUCAAGACCCUAUGUACAUACCUGUCCAUGUGUAUGUGGACCCUGUCCGCGUACGUACCUGUACAUCUAGAUGUGGACCAGGACCCUGUCCAUGUAUGUACCACUCACUACAUGUAUAUGUGGACCAGGUCCCCAUUCGUAUAUUACCACAACAUGUCAAUGUGGACCAGGAUCCCAUCUGUGUAUCCCACAGGAUCCCACAUAUUGCCAUGUGUAUACAUGGAUCAGGACCCCACUCGUGUACAGACCACUAGAUGUAUAUGUGGACCAAAUCCUUGUCCACGUGUGCACCUGUACUGGAACGUGAACCAGGUUCUUGUCUGUAUGUGUACAACUUCCGAGCGGUGCUGAGGACAUUGAGAGCAAGGAAUAUUUCUCGAGCACUUCCUGGUAUUCCCAGUCAUUCCCAUUGUCCAGUGGUAUCACAGCUCUGGUGCAGGGUUGGGCCUGUAGCUGGAUGAGAGAGGUGCCCCGGAGUCCAGAGUCAAAAGAGUACUCUCAGGGUCCUGCAGGCACAGUGUGCGAGCCCAAGAGCGGCCCCUCCCUGAACUUGGCUCCCUGGUGACCAGCCUCUCACUGUUGUCUAGGUGAAUCUAUGGUGAAUCCAGCUCAGAACAAAGAGGAUUGUGUACAGCUGAAUUUUUAGCUGUAAUUGUUAAAUUCCACUGCAGAGGCGGUCUGUAAAGUAAGCAAUCUGAGCCAUUUGGUUUUCAAGAGCCAGAGCAUUGAGAGAGAAAGAUGUGGGGAAAUUCUGCUGACUCGGCUUUGCCCACUAGAGAGGAGAGGCUGGAGAGGCUGAAGGAUGCCAAGAACCAUAGAGCUCUGGAAUAAACGGGUGGCGCAGGGAGAGGUGACUGGAGGGGUCUGGCCAGAGCUUAGGUGAGGGGGUCCAGAAGGUGAGGGCUCAUGUGAUCAGAGCAGCGUGGGCUGCUGUCCUGGGGAGAAGGUGGUAGAAUGCAGCCUCCUGGAGAGGUCGCUCUGGCUCAGCCCUGGGGAUGCAGAGAAGGGAUGGCAGAGGGAGGGACAGAGGACAGCCUGCCAACCUUGAUUCUGGAACCAAGGGUAAGGGGUUGUGCAUGUGCCAUGUAGGCCACAGACCCAAAGGAUUUAGAGUCAGGCUGAGAAGGACCUGUGAGACUUCCACUGACCUCAGGCACAGAAGGCGAGAGCUGUCAGCAUGGGGCGUCUGUGGCUAGGGGGGCAGCAGAGGCCAGUGGAAGACCCAGGCCAGCACAGGACUGGCUUUGGACGGCAUGGAAGGACGUGAAGAUCUCAGAGCCCAGGUCACCUCCUGGAGGAGAUAAGCUCCAGUGACCACAGAAGUCUGGGAAGGAUCAGGUGGUCUUUAAUUGGCAAAAUGAAGAUUUUUCUGUCUACGGUAACGCAGUUGUGCUUGGAGAAGAAAACCAUACAGUCAGCUGUUUCUCUUGUUCCUGGCCGGCAUCCAGCCUGUGAGAGCUCCACCUGCUGUCCCUGGGGAUGCCAGGUUCCCCUCUGGCUCUUUGUUUCGUUCACCCUCCUGCUGACAAAGACCUGAGGAUCCCAUGUUGAGAGGCACAGAGCACGUAUAUUGCCGUUCAGCACUUCCUGUUUUCGAAGCCAGUGGGGAAGCGUGGAGGAGUGUUCCCAGGGCUCUGCCUCCAGAACCCAAAUCCAGCAGACACAGGGAGACACUCCUCCCUGGGGAGUGUCUGUCACCUGUGGGGGUGACCGUGGCCUGAAGGACACGCUGAGGUGACGUGAUCUGUGCACACAGUCGCUUUCCUGUCUUAGUGUUUCUGAGGACCUGCUGUGCACUUGGGUGUACCUGCCAUGUGACUGUGUUACCACUUACCUCCUUUUGUAAAUCAGAUCAUAAAUUCACUUUGAGAAUUUAUCAUUUAUAAAAGGAACCAGUAGUAAUUCUUUUUGUGUAAUGAAUACUCUUCUCCUAAUGAUCUGAUUUCAAAGUUUACAUUUUUUAACAGGUUGGGUAUUCGUUUCAGUGUCGACUCUUCCCCAAGACCUAUGGACAUUCUAACAAAAGGCGUUAUUUUCAGAAUCUAAACAUAAAUACAUAAUAACGCUAUGACUUGAAGCAGCAUGAACAAUGGAGGUAGGAAGUGAAGCAGGCUUUCACAGAAACAUGAACUCAUUUUCAUGGCUCCCAGUAUUUCUCAUUACAAGUUAAACUAUUUAAAAUGAUGGCUUAAUAGGCACCACCUGAGAUGUGGGCGGGAUAAUGAGUGUGAGAUGCUGAACUACUGCGUUUCCUGACUUCUUUGUGCGGAAAUUAGUAAAUGCACCGUCCUAGGAAAAAUGGCUUUGCGAGUCUCAUUUUCAUUUUUCCUGUGCCCUCCGCCCAAGUGCUAGAUGGGGGAGAGAUGCAUUCUUAGGAGUCAUGUUUUGGAGUAGCUAUGGUGGGCUUCAGGGUGAAGUCUGCACUGACCGAGGGUGUGGCCUAGGUGUGUGUGUGUAUGUGUGUGUGUGUAUGUGUGUAGGUAUGUAUACAUAUAAGUGUGUGUAUAUAUAUAUAUGUAUAUGUACAUGUGUAUACGUAUAUAUGUGUAUGUGUAUAUAUAGAAAUAUGGAUGGAUGACCCCGAGGGUGUGGCCUGGGGGGUGUGGGUGACCCCGAGGGCAUGGUCUGGGGGGUUGUGGAUGACCCCCAAGGCAUGGUGGCCUGAGGGUGUGGGCGAUCCCAAGGUGAAUACAAGCCUGAGGGAAGAUGUCUGGGCCUAGCAUCCACCUGCGGGGACUGGAUGGCACAGAGGAGGAGCUUGUAAUCCACCAUGAGGUGUAGACGUGGCGGAAGGCUGACUUGGGAUGAUCACGGGCGUGGGGACGGCCUGGGCACCGUGGGAAGCAGAAUCGGCAAGAGAAGGGGCGCCUGCUCCCAGACUGCCCGCUGGGAAGGCUACUCCGAGGUUGGGGGUGCGUCUUAGGGUGACUCGGGUUUACAGAACAGCAGAGCCCUGUUUGCAUAGGAGAGUGUAGCCACAGGAUUACAAAGUGCCCACUACUUUUAUUUGAUUGGCCACCGAGUUUUCUUAAAGAAAAAUUGUCCCGGCUCUGACCUCCCUCAUCCAUGUCCUAAGGGCCUUUUUCUGGAACCGCUGAAGUGGCUUUCCGGGUCUGCUUGCUUCUGUGUGGUCACUGGGGGCCUUCCCCACUCAGGCUGCAGUGGUGGUUCACACCCUGGAGACUCUGGGCAGCGUCAGCUUCCAGAAACUGCCCCUCUGCUCUCCCGUCAUGUGAACGCCCAGCGUCGUGCUCUGGCUUCCUCACUGGCCGCAGGCCUGCCGUGCCCACUAGGGCCUUUUGGCCUGUCUCGGUCCGUCAGAAUCUCUACCCAUCCUACUGGCGACCCAGCUGAAGGCCCAGCUUGGCUCAGACGGCUUCCUGUUUCUACGGUGGCGUCACCCGUGGCUGUGGGGCCAGAGCCCAUGUCUGCAGCCUGUCUCUGCCACUUAUUUGUGGUGGAUGCCUGGCCCGUGGAAGACUGGCUCUUCGUCAGGGAGAGAGGGCACUCACAGCUGUCAGGGGACUCUGGCAAUCAUUUAGUGGCUCAAACCUGUGGAGCACCGACCCGUGUGCCAGGCACCCGCCCAGAUGCUGGGGAUGCCACAAUGAACAAAUGGAAUAUAAUCGUGACACGGUAAUGAAACUUCUCUGACGUGUUCGUUCCUAUUUCAUUAUAGCUCCUCUUCCCACACCCAUGGGGCCUGACUGGGGGACAGCACCCCUAAGGCUGUCAGCCGGGGAGUGCAGGCUGUGCUCUGCAUUCAUGCAAGACGAUUUUACGGGUAAAGGCAGCGUCUCAAGGAGCUAUCCCAUAUCACUAGCCCUGCUCUGGAUCGCACUGAUUUCGUUAGAGGUGGGUCAUGCGAGAGCGGGAAGACAGUGGGGUCAUGAUGUACAUGGGCAGCCCCAUGUUUUCCCGCAUCAGGAUUUCUUUAGCGACAGCAAAACCCAGGUGCCAGCUGACCUGUUUUUUUUUUAAUGCUUAUUUUUGAGAGAGAAAGCGAGACAGUGUGCGUAGUAGAAGGG